AACCUUCCCUAUAGUACGGAAUAGCUCAGGGAAACUUGAAGUAAUACCGUAUACGCCCGAGAGGGGAAAGAUUUAUCGCUAUAGGAUGGGCCCGCGUCGGAUUAGCUAGUUGGUGAGGUAAUGGCUCACCAAGGCGACGAUCCGUAGCUGGUUUGAGAGAACGACCAGCCACACUGGGACUGAGACACGGCCCAGACUCCUACGGGAGGCAGCAGUGGGGAAUAUUGGACAAUGGGCGCAAGCCUGAUCCAGCCAUGCCGCGUGAGUGAUGAAGGCCUUAGGGUUGUAAAGCUCUUUUAGCAGGGAAGAUAAUGACUGUACCUGCAGAAUAAGCUCCGGCUAACUUCGUG
RNAcentral lists this ribosomal RNA (350 nucleotides) under uncultured bacterium. RNAcentral describes it as "bacterial SSU rRNA". It matches the Rfam family "Bacterial small subunit ribosomal RNA", at positions 123 to 507 of the family's 1533-position model. The record is from RNAcentral.